RNAcentral lists this ribosomal RNA (253 nucleotides) under uncultured bacterium. RNAcentral's name for it is "partial 16S ribosomal RNA". It matches the Rfam family "Bacterial small subunit ribosomal RNA", at positions 524 to 776 of the family's 1533-position model. The record is from RNAcentral.
UACGAAGGGGGCUAGCGUUAUCCGGAAUGAUUGGGCGUAAAGCGUGGGUAGGUGGCAUUUCAUGUCUGCUGUUAAAGCGCGUGGCUUAACCACGCAUCGGCGGUGGAAACAGAAAAGCUAGAGGGCGGUCGGGGCAGAGGGAAUUCCUGGUGUAGCGGUGAAAUGCGUAGAGAUCAGGAAGAACACCGGUGGCGAAAGCGCUCUGCUAGGUGGCACCUGACACUGAUACACGAAAGCUAGGGGAGCGAAUGGG